UAACGGCGAGUGAAGAGGGAAGAGCCCAAGAUUGAAAGCUGGCGUCUUCGGCGUCCGCAUUGUAAUCUCAAGAAGUGUUUUCCGCUUCGGACCAUGCCUAAGUCCCUUGGAAAAGGGCAUCAUAGAGGGUGAUAAUCCCGUUCAUGGCAUGGAGCGCCCGAAGCUUUGUGAUACGCUUUCUAAGAGUCGAGUUGUUUGGGAAUGCAGCUCAAAAUGGGUGGUAAAUGCCAUCUAAGGCUAAAUAUUGGGGAGAGACCGAUAGCGAACAAGUACAGUGAUGGAAAGAUGAAAAGAACUUUGAAAAGAGAGUUAAACAGUACGUGAAAUUGCCAAAAGGGAAGGGUAGGAGGUCAGAGAUGCGUCUUGGAAUUCAGCCUUGCUUCUGCUUGGUGUUUUUUCCAUUUUGCAGGCCAACGUCGGUUUUGGGCACUGGAGAAGGGUGGAAGGAACGUGGCACCUCUCGGGGUGUGUUAUAGCCUUCUACUGGAUACAGCGACCGAGACCGAGGACAGCAGCGUACUCGCAAGAGCGGGCCUUCGGGCACCUUUACGCUUAGGGCGUUGGCAUAAUGGCCCUCU
This 578-nucleotide ribosomal RNA is filed under the name Sporisorium sp. RNAcentral describes it as "LSU rRNA". It matches the Rfam family "Eukaryotic large subunit ribosomal RNA", at positions 84 to 643 of the family's 3401-position model. The record is from RNAcentral. Lineage: Eukaryota; Fungi; Basidiomycota; Ustilaginomycetes; Ustilaginales; Ustilaginaceae.